This is a long non-coding RNA of Rhipicephalus microplus (southern cattle tick), 204 nucleotides long. The record is from RefSeq and is a predicted model, not a curated record. NCBI's taxonomy places the organism in Eukaryota, Metazoa, Arthropoda, Arachnida, Ixodida, Ixodidae.
UGGUAGUAUACGCAAGCAGCGUCCUGGUAUGACUCUGGAAAAGUAGGUCGCCGGGGGCCUUCGCCAUCUCCCACGCCUGCUGAACCAUGCUGCGCUGAUUCUUCAGGCCCAGCCCCACAGAAGCCGGACGGUCUGCGCAAGCAAGCCACUCGACGGAAGCACGAACAGGGGGCGGCUGGUCUCGCAUCGGACUCAUCGGUGCCG